GCCUCCUUAGUUCAAUGGAUUAGAACAUUGCUCUUCUAAGGCAAGUGUUAGGGGUUCGAGUCCCUUAGGGGGUA
This 74-nucleotide transfer RNA is filed under the name Crassvirales sp. RNAcentral's name for it is "tRNA-Arg". It matches the Rfam family "tRNA". From Rfam's summary of the family: Transfer RNA (tRNA) molecules are approximately 80 nucleotides in length. Their secondary structure includes four short double-helical elements and three loops (D, anti-codon, and T loops). RNAcentral also lists the same sequence under 1 other name. Lineage: Duplodnaviria; Heunggongvirae; Uroviricota; Caudoviricetes; Crassvirales. The record is from RNAcentral.